UCUUCUCUUCUUCUUCUUCUUCACUUUUCUUUGUCUUAGUAGAUCUCCGCCGCUCACCUUCUGUCUGCGCUCUUUCUCCUCAAAUCCUAAACUGAGAAAAGUGAUCAUAAUCAAAUAGAUCAAUCUCUUGUUCUUAUGAUUUGUUUCUUCAAAACUUCAUCAUGAUUGCUUCUAAACUUCAUCAUCGAAGAGUAGCAUAUUAAGCGCUGCAUGUUCAUUCUCUCAAAUGGGUUAAAUUAAGGUUAUUUUUUCUCAUUUUUUGAGGAAAAUUAGGGGUUGUGUUGGUUGAGCAGCUGUAUAUGUAUUUAUUCUGAUUUUUUGUGAGAUUUCAACGAUGAUGGUCACUGAGUUGAAAUUUUGAAUAAAAAUGAUUUGUUUCCUCGAUUGUUCAAGUUCUUUAUCUAUUUUUUAUUUUUAAUAGAUUUCUAAGAAUUAUUCUUUUGUUAAUGGUUGUUUUGUGCAAGGAUUUGGUCUUAUUCUCAUCCUAUUGGGUGAGACAUUUGGUAUUGUUUUGGGAUUUGAUUUGAAUUUUUUUUUAACCGUGUUGCUUCUUUUAUCGACUGCCCAAUGAAGAUGAUUUAGGUAAGUGUAAUACGGUUUUCUUGUACAAUUUUUAUCUCUCCUUUUAGGGAUAUCAGUACUACAGUCAGGUGUUCGUCAAAAUGUCUCUAUGAAUGUGAUGUUUUAUUUUUUUUUUCGAUGGGCUGAUUGCGUCUAUAAUCUAGCUUGGUAGAUUUUUAAUGAUGCCAAGGAUGGAUCUAAUUAAUAGAUCUUGAUGCACAGUUAUUUUAAAUUUGUUUUUGGUUGGGAUGGAAUCUUCCAAUCCCCUUCUGUAAUUUUUUAGUUUCUUAAUAACUUUCUUCCUUUUGAUAGAUCUCGUUGUUUUUUAAUUCAGUAGUGGUAAACAAUGUUGUUUCAUGGAUUUUUUUUGUAUGAAUUUCAUUUAUGCACUUGCUGUGAGUUUUGGGUGUUUGUAAACUUGUGAAGUAUAGAUUGUUUUGUUCAUUUUCUGAUUUCAUUUGUAUUUCAUGCGUCCAUAAUUUUUAAUUAUUUGGUUACAUGAAGUUGGUCCAUGUAUGUUGGUACGUUUUUUGAGUCACAAAAUAAUAUUCCCUUGUUCAGUUUUUUUCUUAUUUUUUCGAAUACUGAUUGUUUGGUAUUUGUUGCUUUGGUUCCAUCAUUUGAAAUAACAUCAGCGGCAUGUCUGAAAUUUGGUGUAGAAAUGGCAAGCCAAGCUUCCACCACAGGAGUCAACACAAGGGAUGUCAAAAAUGAGAUCUGUUUUCCUUGUAAUCUGAGUGACGACAUAAGAACUAGAUUGAUGCUUAAGUUUGGAAUUGUCGGUGACAUUUCUUUUACAUCCAUUAACAAGAGGAAAGGAGAGUUUCAAAGACGAUCAAAAUCAGAUUUAGAAAAUAGAUUGAUUGAAUGUUAUCAAGUCGUUGCAGUAUGAAUCUUUUUAGUAUUUUUAUGUAAGUUUGUCCUGUGAACUUUGAAUAAUUCUGAUGUUGUAGUGUUAAAAGUAGAAGUAGUUCGUUUUAAAAUUAAAGUAUGUUGAUGAUGUAAUUGUAAUUUGUUUUGUCAAAGAAACGAGAUUGUAUUUUAUUUAAUUUUUGUAAAACAAAUUGUAGAUCUUUUAAUAUAAAAUUGUAAAUUGAAUCUAGUUAUAAUAAA
Molecule: long non-coding RNA, 1674 nt
Organism: Papaver somniferum (opium poppy)
Lineage: Eukaryota; Viridiplantae; Streptophyta; Magnoliopsida; Ranunculales; Papaveraceae
Exons: 2
Source: RefSeq, a predicted model, not a curated record